CACGAAGUCGCGGGGCACAAGCCGUUAUAGGGGGACAGGGUAGUAACGGUGUGUGGGGUGGAUCGCCUAGCGAUUCACGGCUGUAUCCCUCCUCCACGGGCCUCCAGAUCCCGGGCCCGCCUAGUGCAAUUGCAGCGCGGGGGUAACUCGAGCGAUCAUUAACGAUUCACGGGUUUGGGGAGGGGGCAACCCCCCCCCCCGCCGCCUGGAUUAUUUUUCUCCGGCGGAGGGAUACGACGGAGUUCAUAGACGGGAGACGAUAGAGCCAAGAGACUCCAAUUAAGGAUCAGGAACCCACGGUGCUAAGUGCAGUGCAGACAGAUACUGAAAAAGACAGUUCCUGGCCCAGGGAAAUAGGUUCUUGGAGGACAACAAUGAUUGCAUCUGCCCAGGGGACCAGCUGGAGGAACUAUGAUGAUAAAUCUGAGGAACUGUCCCAGAUUGAGGAGUCAGUAGAGGUGGUUUUGGAACAAAUUGAUAAACAGUGAGGAGUUACCAGGACCAGUUCACCCAAGAGUUUGGAAGGAACUCAAAUAUGAAAUUGCAGACCUACUAACUGUGCAUCGCUACCCCUUGUGGGGAAAGAAUUCAUGUUCUCCCUGGGAAAUCAGGACUAGGAGGUUGAGAUACCGAGGCACAAGGGCUGUCUGGGCUGGAAUCAACACCUUUGAAUGGGAGCCACGCUGAGUGAACUGUUAACUCCUAGAAUAAGCUACUCCCCCAACCACACUUCUCUGUGGGGAAGCACAGCAAAAAGCCCCAACCUGGAGAACAAAGUCAAGAGGUGGCUGAGUGUUAAGGUUACUGCUGGGAUUGGGAACACACACAGGGGACAAGAAGAGACUACUUGGAUUCAGCAGAACAUGAAUCUCAGGCCACAUGGCUUCCACCGAUAUGAGCUCUCUCUCAAGAUCACCUCUCUCCCGCUAACCUAAAGACUUCCAGAUGUA
Molecule: long non-coding RNA, 950 nt
Organism: Mauremys reevesii (Reeves's turtle)
Lineage: Eukaryota; Metazoa; Chordata; Testudines; Geoemydidae
Exons: 4
Source: RefSeq, a predicted model, not a curated record